RNAcentral lists this ribosomal RNA (430 nucleotides) under Pseudomonadota bacterium. RNAcentral's name for it is "Proteobacteria bacterium partial 16S ribosomal RNA". It matches the Rfam family "Bacterial small subunit ribosomal RNA", at positions 355 to 776 of the family's 1533-position model. Lineage: Bacteria; Pseudomonadati; Pseudomonadota. The record is from RNAcentral.
UGGGGAAUAUUGGACAAUGGGGGGAACCCUGAUCCAGCCAUGCCGCGUGUGUGAAGAAGGCCUUAUGGUUGUAAAGCACUUUAAGCGAGGAGGAGGGUACUGGUAUUAAUACUACCAGGUACUGGACGUUACUCGCAGAAUAAGCACCGGCUAACUCUGUGCCAGCAGCCGCGGUAAUACAGAGGGUGCGAGCGUUAAUCGGAUUUACUGGGCGUAAAGCGUGCGUAGGCGGCUAAUUGAGUCGGGUGUGAAAUCCCCGAGCUUAACUUGGGAAUUGCAUUCGAUACUGGUUAGAUAGAGUGUGGGAGAGGAUGGUAGAAUUCCAGGUGUAGCGGUGAAAUGCGUAGAGAUCUGGAGGAAUACCGAUGGCGAAGGCAGCCAUCUGGCCUAACACUGACGCUGAGGUACGAAAGCAUGGGGAGCAAACAGG